This 1004-nucleotide long non-coding RNA is filed under the name Olea europaea subsp. europaea. Lineage: Eukaryota; Viridiplantae; Streptophyta; Magnoliopsida; Lamiales; Oleaceae. The record is from RNAcentral.
UCAAAACGGCCAAAAAAUAAAUGAAUAAAUAAAAAAUGCCUUCUUCACUUGAGAACUGCUAUGGCAAUAACAGCAAAUUUCAAUGGAGUAUUUGAGGCUCUGUCUAACAUCCCCAAGCUACACCAGAUGCGAAGAAAUCAACAAUUACAUGCUUUCUUAGCAAGAAAAAGAUGAAUUCGAAGACAACAAAGUGCAUACUACAAGAAGAUUGUCAAUACGCCUUGCGUCAAUAGCACUCUUUGGAAAUACAAGCAUUGGAAAUUCUCUUGCAGAGGACAAUGGAUUUUGGCUCACAGUUGUACCCUCUGUUAACAACAGUGAGUUCUAUACUUUAUUUUCUAUUUUGACUUAAAUGUAAGAGAAGCAAUAAUCAGAAAGACUGCUCAUAAGUUUUCUUUGUCGUAUAAAUUGACAAUGAAGAGACGGGAACUAGUUCCUUUCUCAAGAAAGGAAUCUAUAUAGCUAAUAUUGGAACUAAAGGGAGAAUGCACAGAUUGAAACGAUAUGCUUUCGAUCUCAUAGCAAUGGGAGAUAUGCGCCUUAAGUCGACAUUUAUGUACUAUGAUUUUGAUGAAGUGAUCUCUGCAGCAAAAGUAGAUGAUAAGAAAUCUCUUAAAGAACUUGCCAACCGGUUGUUCAACAACGUUGAAAAGGUAAUCUGAUCAUAACUUAUUGUUCAAUUUCCUCCCACAUAAUUUAUUUUAGAGUAAUGUUAUUUAAAACCAAUUAUAUUAAAUACCAAUUUAGAUGUCAACAUGUCAUAAAUCCUAAUAAAUAAAUCUUAAAUCCUUACAUUUAAUUGAACCUAUAAUUUGAUAGGUGUUGCUAUAACAACAAGGGGGCUGACUGCCCCCUGACCAAACCCCACAAAUGGGGAGGUCCCCUUUUUUUGCAGGCCCCGCCUGUGGGGUUCUUGUCAAGACCAGCUCCUUGUUAUAGGAGCAAAAUCCAUAAUUUGAUAACACAAGUAUUGUCACCUAAAUUGAUGUUAAAUACCGUUGUUA